GGCGAACGGGUGAGUAAUGUAUCGGAACGUACCUUUCAGUGGGGGAUAACGUAGCGAAAGUUACGCUAAUACCGCAUAUUCUGUGAGCAGGAAAGCAGGGGAUCGCAAGACCUUGCGCUGAUUGAGCGGCCGAUAUCAGAUUAGCUAGUUGGUGAGGUAAAGGCUCACCAAGGCGACGAUCUGUAGCGGGUCUGAGAGGAUGAUCCGCCACACUGGAACUGAGACACGGUCCAGACUCCUACGGGAGGCAGCAGUGGGGAAUUUUGGACAAUGGGGGCAACCCUGAUCCAGCCAUGCCGUGUGAGUGAAGAAGGCCUUCGGGUUGUAAAGCUCUUUCGGCCGGGAAGAAAUCGCAUGGGUUAAUACCCUGUGCGGAUGACGGUACCGGCAUAAGAAGCACCGGCUAACUACGUGCCAGCAGCCGCGGUAAUACGUAGGGUGCGAGCGUUAAUCGGAAUUACUGGGCGUAAAGCGUGCGCAGGCGGUUUUUUAAGGCAGGCGUGAAAUCCCCGGGCUCAACCUGGGAACUGCGCUUGUGACUGGAAGGCUAGAGUAUGGCAGAGGGGGGUGGAAUUCCACGUGUAGCAGUGAAAUGCGUAGAGAUGUGGAGGAACACCAAUGGCGAAGGCAGCCCCCUGCGCCAAUACUGACGCUCAUGCACGAAAGCGUGGGUAGCAAACAGGAUUAGAUACCCUGGUAGUCCACGCCCUAAACGAUGUCAACUAGGUGUUGGGUGGGUAAAACCAUUUAGUACCGGAGCUAACGCGUGAAGUUGACCGCCUGGGGAGUACGGCCGCAAGGUUAGAACUCAAAGGAAUUGACGGGGACCCGCACAAGCGGUGGAUGAUGUGGAUUAAUUCGAUGCAACGCGAAAAACCUUACCUACCCUUGACAUGUCCAGGAGCCUGAAGAGAUUUGGGUGUGCCCGAAAGGGAACUGGAACACAGGUGCUGCAUGGCUGUCGUCAGCUCGUGUCGUGAGAUGUUGGGUUAAGUCCCGCAACGAGCGCAACCCUUGUCGUUAAUUGCCAUCAUUUAGUUGGGCACUUUAACGAGACUGCCGGUGACAAACCGGAGGAAGGUGGGGAUGACGUCAAGUCCUCAUGGCCCUUAUGGGUAGGGCUUCACAUGUCAUACAAUGGUCGGUACAAAGGGUUGCCAAGCCGCGAGGUGGAGCCAAUCCCAGAAAGCCGAUCGUAGUCCGGAUCGCAGGCUGCAACUCGCCUGCGUGAAGUCGGAAUCGCUAGUAAUCGUGGAUCAGCAUGUCACGGUGAAUACGUUCCCGGGUCUUGUACACACCGCCCGUCACACCAUGGGAGCGGGUUCCGCCAGAAGUAGGUAGCCUAACCGCAAGGAGGGCGCUUACCACGGCGGGGUUCGUGACUGGGGUGAAGUCGAAACAAGGUA
This 1406-nucleotide ribosomal RNA is filed under the name metagenome. RNAcentral describes it as "bacterial SSU rRNA". It matches the Rfam family "Bacterial small subunit ribosomal RNA". The record is from RNAcentral.